CCCACCGAUCUCCGCCUCCAGAUUCCAAGUGCCGUCGAAGAACGGCACGUUGGCGCGGCCGAAUGCUGUAGCCAGGCCGACCGUUUCGUCGUCGUCGAAAAGGCUGUCG
This 109-nucleotide unclassified non-coding RNA is filed under the name plant metagenome. Its description in RNAcentral is "partial contains 5.8S ribosomal RNA, internal transcribed spacer 2, and large subunit ribosomal RNA". The record is from RNAcentral.